CCUACGGGAGGCAGCAGUGGGGAAUAUUGGACAAUGGGCGAAAGCCUGAUCCAGCCAUGCCGCGUGUGUGAAGAAGGCCUUCGGGUUGUAAAGCACUUUUGGCGGGAACGAAAAGGACUGUGCCAAUACCACGGUUCGAUGACGGUACCCGCAGAAUAAGCACCGGCUAACUACGUGCCAGCAGCCGCGGUAAUACGUAGGGUGCGAGCGUUAAUCGGAAUUACUGGGCGUAAAGCGUACGCAGGCGGUUUGUUAAGCUAGAUGUGAAAGCCCCGGGCUCAACCUGGGAACUGCAUUUCGAACUGGCAAACUAGAGUAUGAUAGAGGGUGGUAGAAUUUCAGGUGUAGCGGUGAAAUGCGUAGAUAUCUGGAGGAACAUCAGUGGCGAAGGCGACUCCCUGGCCAAAGACUGACGCUCAUGUGCGAAAGUGUGGGUAGCGAACAGGAUUAGAUACCCUGGUAGUCCAUGC
This 470-nucleotide ribosomal RNA is filed under the name uncultured Symbiodinium. RNAcentral's name for it is "partial Bacterial small subunit ribosomal RNA". It matches the Rfam family "Bacterial small subunit ribosomal RNA", at positions 338 to 800 of the family's 1533-position model. Lineage: Eukaryota; Dinophyceae; Suessiales; Symbiodiniaceae. The record is from RNAcentral.